Molecule: unclassified non-coding RNA, 225 nt
Filed under: Hevea brasiliensis (rubber tree)
Lineage: Eukaryota; Viridiplantae; Streptophyta; Magnoliopsida; Malpighiales; Euphorbiaceae
Source: RNAcentral
GGGGUGUGCGUUUUUGCACGCAAGGAUGAAGAAAAAAGGGGGAAUAGUGUGGUAGAAAUGGAAGAAAUUGAGGAUUUUGAUGAUGACUAUGACGACGACGACGAUGAUUUUCUAGGGGAUGAGGAAGAGGUUGACGGAGACGACGACGACGAUGAUGAGGUGAUUAUUCCAUUAAGAAAUAUGAAGAAAUGGUUAGAAAACAAGCCGCGUGGGUUUGGAGUAGAU